Molecule: small RNA, 127 nt
Filed under: Marmota monax (woodchuck)
Lineage: Eukaryota; Metazoa; Chordata; Mammalia; Rodentia; Sciuridae
Source: RNAcentral
GCUGGGCACAGUGCCGCAUGCCUGUAAUCCCAGGGGCUCAGGAGGCUGAGGCAGGAGGAUCACAAGUUGAAAACUAGCCUCAGCAAUUUAGUGAGGCCCUGAGUAACUUAGUGAGACCCUGCUUCUA